AAACGCUGCAGUACAGACAUUUCGGUAUAAAGUUCCAGUACUGCGUAAAGUGCUCCUCUGGACACGGCGUGCACACGGUGUCUCGAGUUGGUGUGCAGUGCGCGCUCAUAUGCGUCCCAGGUGGACAGCGAGUGCACGUGGAGAAGCUGCAGGAUGUAUCGUUGUGAAGGACAGGAGCGGACCACAGUUCGUACGUCCUCCUCGCUCACCUUUUCUCCAGAGACGGAGCAGGUGCAGCGUCUGAUGCUGAGGACUGCAGCUUUUCUUCAGCCGCUCAACGUUCUUCCAGUCCACCUUACGUCCUGGAAGACUCUCGGAGAGACGUUCCACGGAGAUUGAGGCCAACGGAGGAGAC
This is a long non-coding RNA of Paramisgurnus dabryanus, 355 nucleotides long. RefSeq lists it as uncharacterized. The record is from RefSeq and is a predicted model, not a curated record. NCBI's taxonomy places the organism in Eukaryota, Metazoa, Chordata, Actinopteri, Cypriniformes, Cobitidae.